This 712-nucleotide ribosomal RNA is filed under the name Phronira sp. WEV-068. RNAcentral describes it as "partial 28S ribosomal RNA". It matches the Rfam family "Eukaryotic large subunit ribosomal RNA", at positions 328 to 806 of the family's 3401-position model. Lineage: Eukaryota; Metazoa; Arthropoda; Insecta; Coleoptera; Curculionidae. The record is from RNAcentral.
ACGAGACCGAUAGCGAACAAGUACCGUGAGGGAAAGUUGAAAAGCACUUUGAAGAGAGAGUUCAAGAGUACGUGAAACCGUUUAGGGGUAAACCUGAGAAACCCGAAAGGUCGAAGGAAGAAAUUCAUUCGCGUUUCGCCGCGGGCGUCGGGCGGUCGCGUGACGAGUAGCGUUCGCGUUACUCGCACCUUCCGUCCCUCGAAUCCGUAGCGAACGCGUGCACUUUUCUUCUGGUAGGACGUCGCGAUCCGUUGGGUGUCGGUCUACGGCUCGCGGUGGAGCCCGUCCGUCGUUUUUACGCACGGACGAACCCGCGUGUCCCGGCCGACCCGCUCGACGGUAUACGAAAGGUUCGAGGCCGCUCGCUUUAGGAGCGUUCGACUCGUGGCAAGCGCGCCAGAUGCGUCGGCGAUCGGACCCGGUGCCGAUUCUGACCUCUGGUGACUGUUGGCUACGAUGUUCUCGAACAGACCUCUGACCGAUCCGCGACGCUAUAGCUUUGGGUACUUUCAGGACCCGUCUUGAAACACGGACCAAGGAGUCUAGCAUGUGCGCGAGUCAUUGGGACUUACUAAACCUAAAGGCGUAAUGAAAGUAAAGGUCUUCCUCGCGAGGACUGAGGGAAGACGGGCGGUUCACCUUUAAAGUGGCCGCCCCGCAUUCCCGGGGCGUCUCGUUCUCAUUGCGAGAAGAGGCGCACCAAGAGCGUACA